UGCUUGGAUAGCUCAGUUGGUAGAGCACUUGCCGCGAAUGCUAAAGGUCCCGAGUUCGAGUCUCGGUCCGGCAA
Molecule: non-coding RNA, 74 nt
Organism: Schistocerca gregaria
Lineage: Eukaryota; Metazoa; Arthropoda; Insecta; Orthoptera; Acrididae
Source: the annotation of a RefSeq genome assembly